Non-coding RNA from Paramisgurnus dabryanus, 273 nucleotides. The record is from RefSeq and is a predicted model, not a curated record. NCBI's taxonomy places the organism in Eukaryota, Metazoa, Chordata, Actinopteri, Cypriniformes, Cobitidae.
UGCAGUCUCGCCUGGCUGGUCUCUUGUCUGUGCAAUGGCUGGAGACUUGGCGAGUCUGCAGAGAUUAAUCAGAAGAAGUAAAAGGCGUGACUUCUGCAGACUAUGUAGUUUCACGUGCGAUAUUCUUUCAACAUAUCGUCCUGUUUUUCACAGCGGUUAUGGUUUACCAUGUACCCUUACCAAUCUAAAAACAGGAAAAGCAAAUUGCAGGGGCAAUAAGAUAUUGUCUGACAGGACAAGAACACUGUCUAGACACUUCUACUUGCCACAAUU